UGGGGAAUAUUGCACAAUGGGCGAAAGCCUGAUGCAGCAACGCCGCGUGAGUGAAGAAGGUUUUUGGAUUGUAAAGCUCUUUCGGCUGGGAAGAGGGGUUAUUUGGUUAAUAUCUAAGUAACUUGACGGUACCAGCAUAAGAAGCACUGGCUAAUUCCGUGCCAGCAGCCGCGGUAAUACGGAAGGUGCAAGCGUUGUUCGGAUUGACUGGGCGUAAAGCGCGCGUAGGCGGGUUUAUAUGUCGAUUGUGAAAUCCCCAGGCUCAACCUGGGAAUUGCAGUCGAAACUGUAGAUCUUGAAUGUCUGAGGGGUUGGCGGAAUUCCAGGUGUAGGAGUGAAAUCCGUAGAUAUCUGGAGGAACACCGGUGGCGAAGGCGGCUAACUGGCAGAACAUUGACGCUGAGGUGCGAAAGCGUGGGGAGCAAACAGG
This 430-nucleotide ribosomal RNA is filed under the name uncultured bacterium. RNAcentral's name for it is "bacterial SSU rRNA". It matches the Rfam family "Bacterial small subunit ribosomal RNA", at positions 355 to 776 of the family's 1533-position model. The record is from RNAcentral.